Molecule: long non-coding RNA, 1200 nt
Organism: Mytilus californianus (California mussel)
Lineage: Eukaryota; Metazoa; Mollusca; Bivalvia; Mytilida; Mytilidae
Exons: 4
Source: RefSeq, a predicted model, not a curated record
ACUGGAGUAGUUGUACAACGAAUACCUGUCUUACGAUUUAUGAUAAUAGAUGUACUGCUAGUCCUACUGAAACAUGCAACAAAUGAUAGUGUAACAUGUGCUACAAAAAUAUUGAAGAGAGCAGGAGCUGUGAUAGAAGAAACAGCUCAUUUAAAUGAACCUGCGGAGGGAAAUUUCAAUGAAGUGUUCUCACUGCUCAGCCAGUUGAAAGAACAUGAUCGUUUAGAAGAGACAACGAAGUGUUCAAUAACAACGUUGCUUAAACUUAAGUCCCGUAAUUGGGACAGAAGAGAUUCUACACAGUCUCGUUCAACUCACCCUGUUACUCAAAACGAGAAAAUGAGAGCGUUGGAAAAGAUAAUAAAAAAUCAGGGAACAAUAUGGAUGACAAAUAUCUUUGUAAAAUAUGUUUUGAUAAUCCAGUGGAAGUAACAUUUUUGCCAUGUAUGCAUGUGUGCUGCUGCAAGAACUGUAGCGACAAGUUAAAAGUGAAACAGUGUCCAAUUUGUAGGAAAAAGAUUAAAGAAAGUAGACCUUUGUAUUUUGCUUGAAAAAAGUGUAUAUUUUUCUAAGCUAGAAAUAUAACUGAUGUAAAUACGUAAGGAAAAUGACACUGAUAUAAUUUGAUUAUCAAUAUGUGUAUGUUAAUUGAAGUCUGGAGCUGGCAUGUCAGUUAACUGCUAGUAGUCUGUUGUUAUUUAUGUAUUAUUGUCAUUUUGUUUAUUUUCUUUGGUUACAUUUUCUGACAUCAGACUCGGACUUCUCUUGAACUGAAUUUUAAUGUGCGUAUUGUUAUGCGUUUACUUUUCUACAUUGGCUAGAGGUUUAGGGGGAGGGUUGAGAUCUCAUAAACAUGUUUAACCCCGCCGCAUUUUUGCGCCUGUCCCAAGUCAGGAGCCUCUAGCCUUUGUUAGUCUUGUAUUAUUUUUAAUUUUAGUUUCUUGUGUACAAUUUGGAGUUUAGUAUGGCGUUCAUUAUCACUGAACUAGUAUAUAUAUAUUUGUUUAGGGGCCAGCUGAAGGACGCCUCCGGGUGCGGGAAUUUCUCGCUGCAUUGAAGACCUGUUGGUGACCGUCUGCUGUUGUCUGUUCUAUGGUCGGGUUGUUGUCUCUUUGACAAAUUCCUCAUUUCCAUUCUCAAUUUUAUUAUGUUACUAUAAUUGUAUGUGUUAUCCAAAUAAAAUAUACUGGUAGUCAGAAA